Molecule: ribosomal RNA, 360 nt
Filed under: uncultured bacterium
Lineage: Bacteria
Description: bacterial SSU rRNA
Rfam family: Bacterial small subunit ribosomal RNA
Source: RNAcentral
GGGCCCGCACAAGCGGUGGAGUAUGUGGUUUAAUUCGACGCAACGCGCAGAACCUUACCCAGCCUUGACAUCCUUCGAAUCUGUAUGAAAAUACGGAGUGUCCCUUCACGGGGAAGCGAAGUGACAGGUGCUGCAUGGCUGUCGUCAGCUCGUGUCGUGAGAUGUUCGGUUAAGUUCCCGGCAACGAGCGCAACCCCUGUCGUUAGUUGCCAUCAUUCAGUUGGGCACUCUAGCGAGACUCCCGGUGUCAAGCCGGCGAAGAUGGGGAUGACGUCAAGUCCUCAUGGCCCUUAUGGUUGGGGGCUGACACACGUACUACAAUGGUGACUACAGAGGGCUGCAAUACCGCGAGGUGGAGCC